Mandrillus leucophaeus (drill) is the source of this 1363-nucleotide RNA transcript. It is a transcript of the gene named L-lactate dehydrogenase A chain pseudogene, with no coding region annotated. Lineage: Eukaryota; Metazoa; Chordata; Mammalia; Primates; Cercopithecidae. The transcript has a single exon. The record is from RefSeq and is a predicted model, not a curated record.
UUUGGUUCUAAGUCCAAUAUGGCAAUUCUCAAGGAUCAGCUGAUUCAUAAUCUUCUAAAGGAAGAACAGACCCCCCAGAAUGUGAUUACCGUUGUUGAGGUUGGUGCUGUUCACAUGGCCUGUGCCAUCAGUAUCUUAACGAAGGACUUGGCAGAUGAACUUGCUCUUGUUGAUGUCACGGAGAACAAAUUAAAGGGAAAGAUGAUGAGUCUCCAAUAUGGCAGACUUUUCCUAAGAAAACCAAAGAUGGUCUCUGGCAAAGACUAUAAUGUAACUGCAAAUUCCAAGCUGGUCAUGAUCGCAGCUGGGGCACAUCAGCAAGAAGGAGAAAGCUCUCUCAAUUUGGUCCAGUGUAAUGUAAACAUCUUUACAUUCAUUAUUUCUAAUAUUGUAAAAUACAGCCCAACUGCAAGUUCCUUAUUGUUUUAAAUCCAGUGGAUAUCUUGACUUGUGUGGCUUGGAAGAUAAGUGGCUUUCCCAAAAGCCGUGUUAUUGGAAGUGGCUGCAAUCUGGAUUCAGCCCAAUUCCAUUCCCUGAUGGAGGAAAGGCUGGGAGUCCACCCAUCAAGCUGUCAUGGGUGGGUCCUUGGGGAGCAUGGAUAGUCCAGUGUGUCUGUAUGGAGUGGGGUGAAUGUUGCUGGUAUCUCCCUGAGGAUUCUGCACCCAGAGUUAGGGACUGAUACAGAUAAAGAACAGUGGAAAGAGGUUCACAAGCAGGUGGUCAAGAGUGCUUAUGAGGUGAUCAAACUGAAAGGCUACACAUCCUGGGCCUUUGGUCUCUCUGUGGCAGAUUUGGCAGAGAGUAUAAUGAAGAAUCUUAGGCAGGUACACCCGAUUUCCAUCACGAUUAAGGGUUUCUAUGGAAUAAAGGAUGAUGUCUUCCUUAGUGUUCCUUGCAUCUUGGGACAGAAUGGAAUCUCACACCUUGUGAAAGUGAUUCUGACUCCUGAGGAAGAGGCCUGUUUGAAGAAGAGUGCAGAUACACUUUGGGGGAUCCAAAAAGAGCUGCAAUUUUAAAGUUUUCUGAUGUCACACCGCUUCACUGUCUAGGCUACAACAGGAUUUUAGUUGGAGGUUGUGCAUGUCGUCCUUUUUAUCUAAUCUGUGAUUAAAGCAGUAAUAUUAAGAUGGACUGGGAAAAGCAUCAAUUCCUAAAGUUAGAAAGAGGCAUAGUUUGUAAAAUCCUACAGCUAUAUCCUGAUGCUGGAUGGUACUAAUCUUGUAUAGUCCUAUAAGUCUACCACCUUUGAGGCACCACUGCCAAUGCUGCACAUGCUGCAGUUACCCCUUGAGCCAGAUGGAUGUUUACUGUAUGUUAUAUACUUUCCUGGCUCCUUCACCAAACAUGCCUCGUCCAACAUUUU